Myotis lucifugus (little brown bat) is the source of this 75-nucleotide non-coding RNA. The record is from Rfam. Lineage: Eukaryota; Metazoa; Chordata; Mammalia; Chiroptera; Vespertilionidae.
GGCAGUUCCCAGGUAAUGCACCCUGGAAUUGGGCUCCUUAUUCUCUGGUUCCAAGUGCAUCACCCAAGAACCACU